This 459-nucleotide ribosomal RNA is filed under the name uncultured Curtobacterium sp. Its description in RNAcentral is "bacterial SSU rRNA". It matches the Rfam family "Bacterial small subunit ribosomal RNA", at positions 920 to 1382 of the family's 1533-position model. Lineage: Bacteria; Bacillati; Actinomycetota; Actinomycetes; Micrococcales; Microbacteriaceae. The record is from RNAcentral.
CCCGCACAAGCGGCGGAGCAUGCGGAUUAAUUCGAUGCAACGCGAAGAACCUUACCAAGGCUUGACAUACACCGGUAACGCCCAGAGAUGGGUGCCCCUUUGUGGUCGGUGUACAGGUGGUGCAUGGUUGUCGUCAGCUCGUGUCGUGAGAUGUUGGGUUAAGUCCCGCAACGAGCGCAACCCUCGUCCUAUGUUGCCAGCGGGUCAUGCCGGGGACUCAUGGGAGACUGCCGGGGUCAACUCGGAGGAAGUGGGAUGACGUCAAAUCAUCAUGCCCCUUAUGUCUUGGGCUUCACGCAUGCUACAAUGGCCGGUACAAAGGGCUGCGAUACCGCGAGGUGGAGCGAAUCCCAGAAAGCCGGUCUCAGUUCGGAUUGGGGUCUGCAAUUCGCCUGCAUGAAGUCGGAAUCGCUAGUAAUCGCAGGUCAGCAUACUGCGGUGAAUACGUUCCCGGGCCUU